UGAGGAAGGAAGGGUUUGGGGAGAGGCAGGAGGGGAGUGGAGGGGACGAGGAGGUGCGGAGGCGCCAGCAGAUACCUGGGCCCUUCCGCCCCGAUGUGUUGGGGUCUGGGGCCCCGAAACGCCCCCUCCAGUCCAGCCUGGGCAAGCUGGGAGGCCGCCGGGUGCGCCAGCCACGGUCGCCUGCGUCGUGGAAAACCUAGUGAGCCCCAGGCGUUAGGCGCCUGGAGGCCACGCGGAGUUUUCGCGAACGCGCCGGGCGGUGCAGGGAUGCCCUGUCUGGGAGAGUGCACGGUGGGAAGCGGGCACGCCUUGUAGGCAGCUGCCUGCGCUUGUGUACGUGGCUGCUGACGUGGAGAACUGUAGCUGUGGAAAGCCUGCUACCCAGGAAGGACGCAGGGGGUGCAGUCGCGGCCCAUUCUCUGUGCCUGGAAAGUCCUGAAGGCACUAGGAGUUGUCAGAUUAAACCCCCAGACCCACGAGGUAUCUGUUUUCACCAGAAAAUUUGUGAAUUGACAGACCAUAAAAUCUGUGGUAAGUUCAUGGGCUCCAUCAAUGCCAUUGUGAAAAAUUGACCCUCUGUUUCCCAGAUUGCAACUCCUCAAAUCUUGGUUUGUUUGCUGUUUUGUUAGGAUUUGUUACAACUUCUUGCUUAUUGCCUUUUGUUUCACAAGCAGUGCUGAAGACAAUAUGGACUUGAUAUUGGAAAGAGAGUAAGAAUAUGAAACCCACAGUUUUGUGACAUGAGAACACCAACUGGCCAGUCCCUAUUAUCUGCAGGAUGUGCUUUUCUUAAGGAUGAUCAUAUUUUGGUUCACAGGCUUCCAAGACAAGCACAUUCCUGCCAACAUGAUCCCUGGACAAGCUGUUCUGGAAUUUGAACUCGCUACUGGAAGAGGGUUAAGUCCAGGACACACACACACACAUUUCAGGGGGAGGCAAGCCGUAGCUGGGUAUGUUAGCACCUCAUUAUACAACAGUUUCAGGAUAAAGUGAUUCCAGAUGUGCUCUCAGCAAGUACCUAGUUUUUAUAUUUUUAACCCAUUAGGCUAAAAUCCACUUUCAGAAUUUUGGGGAAGCCAGAGUUAGUUAAUUAACUUGUCAUUCCUAAUUAUUUCAUAAAGUUGAUUCUAAGUUGAUUAUAAUUUGCAGUAUGUUUCGAGUUGGGGAUAUCCAUUAUAACCAUAUAAAGCAUACAUAUUUAUACACACACACACACACACACACACACACACACACACACACACAACAUAAUCACCAGACAUAUCUUUGACAAUGAUUAGAAGUUCAUUUGGAGUACUGGUUUAAUGAUCAUUAGGUUUCUUUGACCUGGAAAUUUCAUUUAGAAACAUUAGGAAAAUAUAUAUCUAAGAAGUAGUAUUCUAGUUUCUUUCUUCUCAUUGAUGAAGCUGCAGUGAUCAUCAUUGUGAUUCUGAAGCAUAAACUUCAGAGUAAGUCCUGGUUAAAGGGCUUCCUCUCUUUUUUUAAAAAGCAAGAUUUGAAAUUUUUUUCUUUGUAACCUAAAUUUACAAUAAAGAGUUAAAGAGAAAAGAUAAUGAAUGUUUUCCCUGAUAAUUCAGAUUAUUAUUAGGAAUAUGGAAUUUUUGGAUCACUUGGCCCUAGAAGGUGGAGAGUUGAAGGUGAACAUUUCAUUUUGGUUUCAAAUAUUUUAAAUUUGCCUGCAGAAAUUAUGUUUUCUGCUUAAUACAACCGAAGCCCUCUUAGCUGGUCUUACUUGAGUUGAGAAUAUUGCAUCCUAGUGUGCUCUUUUGAUUUUGUUUUGCUCUAAAGUAAAUUUUUAAAAAUUUAGGUGUGCUAUCUGGCAUCAAAGACAAAACCAUUGUUUGCUAAAGGCUGUAACCUAGGGCAUUAUACACUAAAUGGGAAUACAGGAAAACAUAUUCUUCAGAGGUACGUGUUUUGUUGCAACUAGGGCAGUACCUACAGCAAAGCAGUCUGGGUACGAUGGACUGGAUCCAGACUGCGUGGUUUCAUUUCUGCUUCUGCUUUUUACUAGCUGUGUGCUUCAAUUUCACAAAUGUGAAAGAUGAAUAAUAACUCGUGAGGAUUUAGUUAAGUCUGAACUUGUAAAGGUAGCACUUAGAACCAUGCCUGGCAUAUGUUAAGUACUAUGCAAGUGUGAGCUUAAAUAAACAAAGGAAUUUCAGAUUUUGUCUUUGUCAUGUCAGAGAGGCUAACAUCAAGUGAUGGCUGAAGAAGCAUACAACUAGUUAGAUUUAAAAGAAAAAUGAUCUUUGGGAUUAAUCCUCUCUUGUGAAAAGUUUUCUAGAGCUUCCAUCCAGCUGUAAUCAAAAGCUGGAGGACAAGAAGGUGAGUAAAGUGUAGCAGAGUGAAUGCCAUUGAUUAAAGAAAGGCGAGGUCCUUGCUUUAUGACAAUUGUUUCUAUUAUUUCUAUUUGGAGAGAAAGACCUUUGGUGUUACCCAUCAGCAGGAGAUGGACUGUAGUCUUUGUGUGGAUUGACAAACAUCUGAAGUUUAACAAUGUGAAGGGCUUUCUUUGCAGGAAAUGAAAAAGUUGUGAUUUUCCCUAAGUAAUUUAGAGUCACUAUUGAGCCAGCCAGGUUGGGCCCACUAGUCUCUACAACAGUUUUGUGACAUUAGCCUUGUGCUGUUGCAGCAGUUCAGACUCAUGGAGCCUUUUGCUUAGAAGACCUCUCUUCCUUCUGGCUGACACAGCCCCAUCACAGGGUGCAGGGCUUGGCAAGUGGAGUACAGGAUGGUUUUCAGCCGUUACCACCUCUUCCCACCAGGACACGGUGCAGUAUACAAAUGGCACAUUGAAUGUGGUAGCUAUGAAGACAGGUUUUUGAAUUUCACUUUCUGUGCUUCAGCUCAGGAGAUACGUUGUUUAUUCUAUUGUUCUGUCUUAGUCAACUUUAAUAGCUGGAUCUGGGGAAGAGAUGGUUCAGUAUUUUUUGUCAUUGAAUCCAAUGGUUGAUUGCUAAUUAUUAGUUAAGGUAAUCUACAAACAUCCUGCUGACAUUCAAGAUUGUUUUCUAUCAGACGUUUCAUGAAGCCACUUAAUUUAGGGUUAAGGUCCUGCUGGACCUUAUAGGAAUCUAAAAGCAAGGAGAAAGGCAUCAGAAUAUCACACCCUUUUAGCUAUAAAUCAUAUUUCUGUAAUGCUGUUGCUACUUUUUUUCUACAUGCUCUUGCAAUUUAAGAUGAUGCAUUUUAUUUCCAGUGGUUUGCAAACUGUAACUGAAAGACAGAAUGCUCGGAAAAGCCUCUGGCUAAAAACUAGUCUAUUGACAUAGAAUCAUGUCAGGAGUGGCCCGUGAGAUUUGUGGGUUUUGGCCUCUUGUUUCUCAUCCAAUAUUUCUUUUCAGGAUUAUCACAGUUAAAUUCCUCAUUGGAUAUGCACUAGAUUAAAAUCACAUUAAAGCUUGGACUUAAGCAUAGCAAAAAGUCUUGAUUCUUUGACAUUACCUCCCAAGAUUCUUCUGUUAUGGUUUCAGUGGUCCUGAAUUUUGGAAGAUGCAGAUACGAUAAUAAUGCCACUAUCCCCUACAAGGAGGAUGCCACCUGUAAUAAGGCACUGAGAAGUUUUAUUGUCUCAAAUAUAUUUAUUCUCAUUCUUAAGAAAACUUGAAAUAACUUGUGUUGUUUUGUUCUUAUUUCUGUUUAGAAAUCUUUUUCAUUUCCCCUGCCCUGUCUUUUCCAUUCAGAAAUGAGUACAGACUGUUUUUUAGCUCACUCAUGAGCUCUAGAAACAGUCGUUUUGAUUAUUAAAUUUUUAUCUAACAAUAAGUAACAUGCACUUAAUGCAUUAUAGUUUAUAAAGCACUUUUUUCCAAAUGCAUUACACAUUUAAUAUCAUGAACUUUUGAGAUGGAUAUUACAAUUUUCUCCUUUUUUGCAAACUGGGAAACUAAAGCUCAGAGAUCCAUGUACUGUGCUACCCAAAGGAUAUAGGAAGAGAACCAGACUUUUUACCUUUAAUUGAUCAAAAAAGAGAUGUCAUCACAAUUUCCAUGUGAGUAACCUGUCCUGAAAUUAUAAGACAUCCUUUGCUCACUUAAUUACAUGUAGUGUUGUUGCUGGACUUUUCCUUAGUUCAGCCAAAGAUGGGGUUCUUGUCAUAGGGCCAUGAAAAUUUAGGCUUGCAGACAAUUUAAAGGGUGAGUAAGGCAAGGUUUUAUUGGGUGGAAAGGAAAACAAGGGGAAAUGGAGACUCUUAGCAAAGCAAGAGAGUGUGCUUCUUGCCCCUGGGUUCCCGCCUUGCUGAUUGAAUCCCAGGUUUCACCCAGGAAGAGGAGGGGCCGGGCUCCUCCCUGCAGACUUCUGUGGCUCCGCCCCAGUGCGCAGGCCAGUUGAAGUUUUGUUGGGGAGCCUUUCCCAUGUGACUGUCUCUGUGUAGUACAUGUGAUGUGGCCUAAAUUGGAAAAUAUCUAAAUUAGUAGCUACCUGUGAAUUUGUCCUAACUUAUUUAGAGAAUCUUUUGAAAUGAUUUAAAAUUCUUUGGGUUGUCAGCUCAGACUACACACACACACACACACACACACACACGAACAACCCUUGAGCAAAAUUAAUGGUAGUGAAUCUGCAGCCUUUCAAAGUAAUCAGAGAACCUUGAACUCCAGCUAAUUUGACAUUUUCACCUUUUCUAACUUUUUUCAGAGUGUGUUGACAUUCAGGUCAAUUUUGAGCUGCUUUUAAGAAUACCUAGUGUCUAGUAUAGUAUAGGUAUUUCCAUUUCAAAUAAAUGACUGAAUUGUUCAACAUAUGGACAAAUGACAAUUUGUAAAUAGGCAUCUCUAAAUGCAGGGUACCUACAUGCAAUACAAAUAGAAGUCUCAUUAUGUUUAUCAUUUUAAACUAGAAGGUUUUGGCAUAGUUUGAAGUGAUAUUAGAGAAGAAGCAAGGACUUUGGAACCUGAAAAGAUCUGGAAUUGAAUCUUCACCUUAACAUUUACUGCUGGUUAUUACACCUUUGUUACGCAUUCCACUUAACUUCUCUGAUCUUCAGUCUCUGCACCUGCAAAUUUGGGAUUAUAUUAUCUACUUACAACAUUACUGGAAGGACCAUCUGAAUUAAUAUGUGCAAGGUAACCUGCACAGUGCUUAAUGCAUGAAAUGUGCUCAAAGUUCAUGCAUUUUUAGAACUUAUUUGUAUAUACAACUUUGUAGCCAAUUAACAGCACUCCCAAUUAACAGAUUGUAUAUUUUCUGAUUAACUUUUGUGUGUAAAAAUCCAGCUGCAUAAUCUAUGGUAUAAAAGACCUGUGGUGACAGUAGCAGUUCAGUAUGCCUAUUCUGAACUCUUCACAAAGAGUAAAAGGCCAAAAAUAGUUAAGAUAAUUUUGAAGAUGACCAAGAUGCAGAUAUAUACAUUAAUAGAUCUCAAGACUUAUUAUGAAGCCAUCGUAAUCAAGGAAGGGCAAUGAUGGCAAAGGCAUAGACAUACAUGCUGAUGGGACAGAAGGAACAGUUAGGAAACAGACCCACACACAAGUGGAAACUUGUUAUAUAUAAUAGGUAAUAUAGGAGAAGAGUUUGAUGAUUCAGUAAUGGAUUCUGGUACAACUAGUUACUCACAUG
Molecule: long non-coding RNA, 5559 nt
Organism: Sapajus apella (tufted capuchin)
Lineage: Eukaryota; Metazoa; Chordata; Mammalia; Primates; Cebidae
Exons: 2
Source: RefSeq, a predicted model, not a curated record